Molecule: ribosomal RNA, 142 nt
Filed under: Sistotrema flavorhizomorphae
Lineage: Eukaryota; Fungi; Basidiomycota; Agaricomycetes; Cantharellales; Hydnaceae
Description: partial 28S ribosomal RNA
Rfam family: Eukaryotic large subunit ribosomal RNA
Source: RNAcentral
GUCUGACCUCGGAUCAGGUGGGAUUACCCGCUGAACUUAAGCAUAUCAAUAAGCGGAGGAAAAGAAACUAACAAGGAUUCCCCUAGUAACGGCGAGUGAAGCGGGAUGAGCUCAAAUUUGAAAUCUGGUAGUCUUUGGCUGC